RNAcentral lists this ribosomal RNA (672 nucleotides) under Sedum makinoi. RNAcentral's name for it is "eukaryotic LSU rRNA". The stretch from base 269 to 424 matches the Rfam family "5.8S ribosomal RNA". Lineage: Eukaryota; Viridiplantae; Streptophyta; Magnoliopsida; Saxifragales; Crassulaceae. The record is from RNAcentral.
UCCGUAGGUGAACCUGCGGAAGGAUCAUUGUCGAAGCCUAGAAUGCGUGACCGUGGAUGAGUUUACAAUCGAGUGAAAGUCAUUGGACCCUCGGGCUCCAUAGCGUCAACUCGCUCGGCUGGCGAGCAGACUCAUUAUUUGCUCGUCUCCCGAAUUUAACGAACCCCGGCGUGGUUAGCGCCAAGGUAUCAAAACGAAAAGAACUUGGUCCCCCCAUCUCGAUGAUCGGGAUGCGAGAGACUUGUCUCUAUUCAAAAAAAAUCAUAACGACUCUCGGCAACGGAUAUCUUGGCUCUCGCAUCGAUGAAGAACGUAGCAAAAUGCGAUACCUGGUGUGAAUUGCAGAAUCCCGUGAAUCAUCGAGUCUUUGAACGCAAGUUGCGCCCGAAGCCUUUAGGUUGAGGGCACGUCUGCCUGGGCGUCAUGUUUUGCGAUGCCCCCAUGUAUGAGGGGUGAAUCUUGGCCUCCCGUAGUCUCUUGCUUGCGGUUGGCUUAAACGUGAGCUACAAGACUGGAAAAUGUCUCGACAAGUGGUGGUUGAAUGGGCAUCGGCCUUGAAACUUAGCAGGUUGGGACCUUUUCAAUCUAGUGCUGGAAAAGACCUUAAUGGAGUGACUUAACUGUGCUUCAGCAUUGUGACCCCAGGUCAGGCGGGACUACCCGCUGAGUUAA